Salmo salar (Atlantic salmon) is the source of this 103-nucleotide non-coding RNA. The record is from RefSeq and is a predicted model, not a curated record. Lineage: Eukaryota; Metazoa; Chordata; Actinopteri; Salmoniformes; Salmonidae.
GGUACCAGUUAACCAACAGUGUCCAGUGUCAUCGCACAAUGCAACAAGAAUCUGUGCCAGUGUUGACAGUUCAUCUCUACAACAGCUCUUGGACUCUGGGAUC